GCCGGGAGAAGAAGGGGACGCGGCAGAAGAAGGCUGAGGGGAGGAGAAGGCACCCCAAAUCUCCCAGACAAACGUAGCAGCCAAAUAGAACUGUAGUCAGCCUUAGAGUGCCAAAGUGAAACAAGGAACCCGGGCUGCAGGUGCUUUUGGGUAUGUAAAGCAACAGGAGCUUUGAAGAUACUGUGAGGAAAACAGCAUGGAGCAUAGAGAGUAUUUAAGUUCAUGAUUUUUGGAUUGUGGGUUUGGGAGUGGUAAGGUGCUUUUGUAAUUUCUGCUUUUGUUCUUUGGGGUUUUUUUUUUUGGGUUUUUUUUUUUUUUUUUUUUUUUUUUUUUUUUUUUUUUUUUGAGGAAUGCAACUUUCUGAAAUUCCAGAUUGUGUCAAGUGGAGUACAUUUUUCAGCAGAUUCAUAAUGUCACAAAAGGGAUUUGCUCUGUGUCCAAGAUGAUAUUUGAGAUUGAGGCUUCAAAUGAGUUAAGCAUUGUGAUUAGGAGAGGGAGGGUGAAAAGCUUUUAAUGACUCUAUUUAGGAGUUAUUGUGGGUGGUUUUGAGGGCAGCAGGGUGAGAAACAGUGUCUACAGCACACAAGCUCAUCCAUUGCAGUCAGAGAAAUGCUAUGUAACUUUCUCUCUCUAACCCAGGUGCCACUCACAAUAACACGCUUGGACUCAGUGUGAAGCCAGAGACUCAAGGACCUAGGCACACUCAGGAGAGGACAAGUAGCCGACUUGCUGGGAGUUGGCCCAUAUAACACAAAGCUCAUAUGUUGUUUUUGGUUUACUUUAUUGCAGCUGACUGAGAGGUUAACAGGCAAUUGUGGCAGAGGUGCUCUGAGGCAUACUCAUUUCAGGUCCAGCAUGGACUCACAUCACCGGUCAUCCAAAAGAUAAGUUGGGGGCCACCGCCUGGAGAUGGGAUGAUAGGAGAGUAGUGGGUUGGAAAUUCCUGGGACAGAUUUAAAAAUUAGCAGGGGGAAAAGCAAUGCCCUCUCAAGACACCCAAAAGGAGAGGCUCUACCUUUGCUAACAGCUGUAGGGUGCGCAGUGCAGAACAGUUCCAGUCUGUGUUGUGUUGUCCGGUGUAUACUGUGUUACCUAGUGUGUCUUUGGGGUCCCUCGGAUCAGAUAUCUCUGCCUCUUUCCCCUCGAGGCCCUUACCACAAGCAUCAGCCGUAGGUUCUUGAACGCUCGCACUUCUCUGCAUGAUGCCGAUAUCAUUUGUUCUUUUACUGGCGGGCUCGGCCGUGUUUCCGAGUCACAUCGCAGAAGCGUCGAGUAGGACAUGUUCUGAGGCCUUGCUCCCAGCCAUAUCACCAUCCAUCUUUUCUAGCCAUGGGCUGUAA
Molecule: long non-coding RNA, 1340 nt
Organism: Passer domesticus (house sparrow)
Lineage: Eukaryota; Metazoa; Chordata; Aves; Passeriformes; Passeridae
Exons: 2
Source: RefSeq, a predicted model, not a curated record